Long non-coding RNA from Zea mays, 405 nucleotides. RefSeq lists it as uncharacterized. Lineage: Eukaryota; Viridiplantae; Streptophyta; Magnoliopsida; Poales; Poaceae. The transcript has 2 exons. The record is from RefSeq and is a predicted model, not a curated record.
CCGUGCUUGCAGGUUUGCUAUGAGGAAAAACAAAUUUAUGGGCUCAAACAAAGUGUGAUAGUGAAAGUCAUUUUGCUUCUAGCUUAAGAACCAAGCCAAGAAAAUAGAUAUCAACUGUGACGCCACACUCAAAAGCUUGUUUGGUGGGAGGGACAAGGUUGGGAUGCUGGAGAUCUCCAAGCUUUUGAGCCGUGACUUCCCGAAAAUCUCCAAGCUUUUGUGGUCCAUGGAGCCAGGGAUGGCUCUUUGGUAAAAGACUUCGUUGUGGAUGGCCUCUUUUAUGGUCCAUGUUAAGUCCCAAGUCCCACUAGGUGGUUAAGCAGAAAAAUCUUGUGAUGGCAUUAAGACUUUCAGACUUUGUUUUUGGGUCUGAUGCAUGUAAAAAGGAUUCCCAGUGUUUCUGUU